Molecule: ribosomal RNA, 403 nt
Filed under: uncultured bacterium
Lineage: Bacteria
Description: bacterial SSU rRNA
Rfam family: Bacterial small subunit ribosomal RNA
Source: RNAcentral
UAGGGAAUAUUAGAAAUGGACGAAAGUCUGAUCUAGCAACACCGCGUGUGCGAUGAAGGCCUUCGGGUUGUAAAGCACUUUUUGGAAGGAUUAGGAAGGAAUGUACUUCCAGAAUAAGUCUCGGCUAACUACGUGCCUGCAGCCGCGGUAACACGUAGGAGGCGAACGUUAUCCGGAUUUACUGGGCGUAAAGCGCGUGUAGGUGGUUCUGUAAGUAGGGCGUGAAAGCUCCUGGCUCAACUGGGAGAGGCCGUUCUAAGCUGCAGAGCUGGAGGAUGGUAGAGGGAGGUGGAAUUCCGGGUGUAGCGGUGGAAUGCGCAGAUAUCCGGAGGAACACCAGUGGCGAAGGCGGCCUCCUGGACCAUUCCAGACACUCAGACGCGAAAGCUAGGGUAGCAAACGG